CUAACCGAGGAGCGCUGCGACAGGGUUCCCUGCCAGGCUCGGUUUUCGCGCACUGCGCGGCAAGAACGGCGCUCACCUGUC
This 81-nucleotide non-coding RNA is filed under the name Chitinimonas taiwanensis. RNAcentral describes it as "SAH sequence". It matches the Rfam family "SAH (S-adenosyl-L-homocysteine) riboswitch aptamer". The record is from RNAcentral. Lineage: Bacteria; Pseudomonadati; Pseudomonadota; Betaproteobacteria; Neisseriales; Chitinibacteraceae. RNAcentral also lists the same sequence under 1 other name.